RNAcentral lists this ribosomal RNA (469 nucleotides) under uncultured bacterium. Its description in RNAcentral is "partial 16S ribosomal RNA". It matches the Rfam family "Bacterial small subunit ribosomal RNA", at positions 28 to 507 of the family's 1533-position model. The record is from RNAcentral.
GACGAACGCUGGCGGCGUGCUUAACACAUGCAAGUCGAACGGAAAGGCCCUGCUUGCAGGGUGCUCGAGUGGCGAACGGGUGAGUAACACGUGGGUGAUCUGCCCCUUACUUUGGGAUAAGCCUGGGAAACUGGGUCUAAUACUGGAUAGGACCAUGCUGUAGGUGGUGUGGUGGAAAGAUUAGUUUCGGUAAGGGAUGAGCUCGCGGCCUAUCAGCUUGUUGGUGGGGUAAUGGCCUACCAAGGCGUCGACGGGUAGCCGGCCUGAGAGGGUGGACGGCAACAUUGGGACUGAGAUGCGGCGCAGACUCCUACGGGAGGCAGCAGUGGGGAAUAUUGCACAAUGGGCGCAAGCCUGAUGCAGCGACGCCGCGUGGGGGGUGACGGCCUUCGGGUUGUAAACUCCUUUCAGGCAUGACGAAGCCCUUGUGGUGACGGUAGUGGUAGAAGAAGCACCGGCUAACUACGUG